GGGGAAUAUUGGACAAUGGGCGAAAGCCUGAUCCAGCAAUGCCGCGUGUGUGAAGAAGGUCUUCGGAUUGUAAAGCACUUUCGACGGGGACGAUGAUGACGGUACCCGUAGAAGAAGCCCCGGCUAACUUCGUGCCAGCAGCCGCGGUAAUACGAAGGGGGCUAGCGUUGCUCGGAAUGACUGGGCGUAAAGGGCGCGUAGGCGGUUUAUGCAGUCAGAUGUGAAAUCCCCGGGCUUAACCUGGGAACUGCAUUUGAGACGCAUAGACUAGAGGUCGAGAGAGGGUUGUGGAAUUCCCAGUGUAGAGGUGAAAUUCGUAGAUAUUGGGAAGAACACCGGUGGCGAAGGCGGCAACCUGGCUCGAUACUGACGCUGAGGCGCGAAAGCGUGGGGAGCAAACA
This 401-nucleotide ribosomal RNA is filed under the name uncultured Gluconobacter sp. RNAcentral describes it as "bacterial SSU rRNA". It matches the Rfam family "Bacterial small subunit ribosomal RNA", at positions 356 to 774 of the family's 1533-position model. Lineage: Bacteria; Pseudomonadati; Pseudomonadota; Alphaproteobacteria; Acetobacterales; Acetobacteraceae. The record is from RNAcentral.